GCUCAGAUUGAACGCUGGCGGCAGGCUUAACACAUGCAAGUCGAGCGGGGGAGAUUGCUUCGGUAAUUGACCUAGCGGCGGACGGGUGAGUAAUACUUAGGAAUCUGCCUAUUAAUGGGGGACAACAUCUCGAAAGGGAUGCUAAUACCGCAUACGCCCUACGGGGGAAAGCAGGGGAUCACUUGUGACCUUGCGUUAAUAGAUGAGCCUAAGUCGGAUUAGCUAGUUGGUGGGGUAAAGGCCUACCAAGGCGACGAUCUGUAGCGGGUCUGAGAGGAUGAUCCGCCACACUGGGACUGAGACACGGCCCAGACUCCUACGGGAGGCAGCAGUGGGGAAUAUUGGACAAUGGGGGGAACCCUGAUCCAGCCAUGCCGCGUGUGUGAAGAAGGCCUUAUGGUUGUAAAGCACUUUAAGCGAGGAGGAGGCUCUCUUGGUUAAUACCCAAGAAGAGUGGACGUUACUCGCAGAAUAAGCACCGGCUAACUCUGUGCCAGCAGCCGCGGUAAUACAGAGGGUGCGAGCGUUAAUCGGAUUUACUGGGCGUAAAGCGUGCGUAGGCGGCUUUUUAAGUCGGAUGUGAAAUCCCCGAGCUUAACUUGGGAAUUGCAUUCGAUACUGGGAAGCUAGAGUAUGGGAGAGGAUGGUAGAAUUCCAGGUGUAGCGGUGAAAUGCGUAGAGAUCUGGAGGAAUACCGAUGGCGAAGGCAGCCAUCUGGCCUAAUAC
RNAcentral lists this ribosomal RNA (726 nucleotides) under Acinetobacter guillouiae. RNAcentral describes it as "bacterial SSU rRNA". It matches the Rfam family "Bacterial small subunit ribosomal RNA", at positions 22 to 740 of the family's 1533-position model. Lineage: Bacteria; Pseudomonadati; Pseudomonadota; Gammaproteobacteria; Moraxellales; Moraxellaceae. The record is from RNAcentral.